RNAcentral lists this ribosomal RNA (497 nucleotides) under uncultured bacterium. Its description in RNAcentral is "partial 16S ribosomal RNA". It matches the Rfam family "Bacterial small subunit ribosomal RNA", at positions 28 to 507 of the family's 1533-position model. The record is from RNAcentral.
GAUGAACGCUGGCGGCGUGCCUAACACAUGCAAGUCGAGCGAACAGAUCAGGAGUUGCCUCGUCUGACGUUAGCGGCGGACGGGAGAGUCACAUGGGGAUAACCUACCUCUAAGACUGGGAUAACUUCGGGAAACCGGCGCUAAUAGGGGAGAAUAUAUUGAACCGCAUUGUUCAAGAGUGAAAGACGGUUUUGGUUUGACUUAUAGACGGAUCCGCGCCGCAUUAGCUAGUUGGUAAAGUAACGGCUUACCAAGGCAACGAUGCGUAGCCGACCCGAGCGCGUGGACCGCCACACUGGGACUGAGGAACGGCACAGACACUGAGAGGGGGACGCGGUAGGGACUCCUCCGGGAUGGGGGAAAGCGUGAUCGAGCAAAGCCGGGGGAAUGCUGAUGGUCUUCGGAUGGGAGAACUCUGUUAGUAUGGGAGAAGUAAUGCGCAAGUAACUAUGCACAUCUUGACGGUACCUGAAGAAGAAGCCCCGGCUAACUACGUG